AAUUUUGGACAAUGGGGGAAACCCUGAUCCAGCCAUCCCGCGUGUAUGAUGAAGGCCUUCGGGUUGUAAAGUACUUUUGGCAGAGAAGAAAAGGUAUCUCCUAAUACGAGAUACUGCUGACGGUAUCUGCAGAAUAAGCACCGGCUAACUACGUGCCAGCAGCCGCGGUAAUACGUAGGGUGCAAGCGUUAAUCGGAAUUACUGGGCGUAAAGGGGUGGAAGCCGGUUCGGAAGGAAGAAGUUAAAACCCCAGGCCUCACCUUUGAACUGGCAUUUUAACUGGCGAGCUAGGAGAAUGCAGAAGGGGGUAGAAUUCCACGUGUAGCAGUGAAAUGCGUAGAUAUGUGGAGGAAUACCGAUGGCGAAGGCAGCCCCCUGGGAUAAUACUGACGCUCAUGCACGAAAGCGUGGGGAGCAAACA
This 421-nucleotide ribosomal RNA is filed under the name uncultured bacterium. RNAcentral describes it as "partial 16S ribosomal RNA". It matches the Rfam family "Bacterial small subunit ribosomal RNA", at positions 360 to 774 of the family's 1533-position model. The record is from RNAcentral.